Molecule: unclassified non-coding RNA, 297 nt
Filed under: uncultured fungus
Lineage: Eukaryota; Fungi
Description: partial contains small subunit ribosomal RNA, internal transcribed spacer 1, and 5.8S ribosomal RNA
Rfam family: Eukaryotic small subunit ribosomal RNA (bases 1-73)
Source: RNAcentral
GCAAACUUGGUCAUUUAGAGGAAGUAAAAGUCGUAACAAGGUCUCCGUUGGUGAACCAGCGGAGGGAUCAUUCAAGAACGCCCGCGCGCGCCGAAAGGCGCCGCGGUACGCUCAGCCCCUGUGAACCGUCUACCUUUAAACGUUGCCUUGGCGGGGUGCGGGCCCUAGCGGUCCCCCCGCCAAAGGCCCACAACACGCUCUAGCCACCGCGGCCACUUUCUGAUUUAAUAUUUAUACAAAAUAAAUAAAACUUUCAACAACGGAUCUCUUGGCUCCAGCAUCGAUGAAGAACGCAGC